AUCCAAUCUGCUGUCCCGUGUUGCACCUGGAAAGAUUAUCAGAUUAAUAUAAUUGAUACGCCUGGUCAUGUUGAUUUUACGAUUGAAGUGGAGAGGGCGCUGCAUAUUCUUGACGGUGCCAUUUGGGUUCUGUGUAGUGUUGGUGGUGUACAAAGUCAGUCAAUUACUGUUGAUCGACAAAUGAGAAGAUAUGAGGUUUUGAGACUCACCUUUAUUAACAAACUCGAUCGAAUGGGAGCUGAUCCAUGGAAAGUUCUCAACCAGCGGAGAAAAAGUUGAUGCUGAAAAAGUACCAACAGAAAUGGAAGCCACAGUUACAGAAAAAAGAUGGGAACUGAUUGAAAUGGUUUCUGAAGUGGAUGAUAAACUUGCUGAAGCAUUUCUAAAUGUUUUCUGAAAACAGUCAGUUGCUGCCACCCUUUGCUCAGAAGGAUGUGGAGACUGUUCGUGUGUCAUCUCCAGAAUUGACGUUAGCACCAGACAUCUCUACAUUUAUUCGAAGAGGGGUAGCUGCCUAUCCUAUGUUUGUGAUGAUAGAGAGAAAAAUACAGUUAGCAAAAACAGCUUCAAGACAGGCUCACCCAAGACCUUAAACCCGAGCCAUUCGCUAAUCAAAAUCAAAGCCU
This 626-nucleotide long non-coding RNA is filed under the name Durio zibethinus. RNAcentral's name for it is "long non-coding RNA (DZIB_LNC001182)". Lineage: Eukaryota; Viridiplantae; Streptophyta; Magnoliopsida; Malvales; Malvaceae. The record is from RNAcentral.